This 497-nucleotide ribosomal RNA is filed under the name uncultured bacterium. Its description in RNAcentral is "partial 16S ribosomal RNA". It matches the Rfam family "Bacterial small subunit ribosomal RNA", at positions 28 to 507 of the family's 1533-position model. The record is from RNAcentral.
GAUGAACGCUGGCGGCGUGCCUAAUACAUGCAAGUCGAGCGAACAGACGAGGAGCUUGCUCCUCUGACGUUAGCGGCGGACGGGUGAGUAACACGUGGAUAACCUACCUAUAAGACUGGGAUAACUUCGGGAAACCGGAGCUAAUACCGGAUAAUAUAUUUAACCGCAUGGUUCAAUAGUGAAAGACGGUUUUGCUGUCACUUAUAGAUGGAUCCGCGCCGCAUUAGCUAGUUGGUAAGGUAACGGCUUACCAAGGCAUCGAUGCGUAGCCGACCUGAGAGGGUGAUCGGCCACACUGGAACUGAGACACGGUCCAGACUCCUACGGGAGGCAGCAGUAGGGAAUCUUCCGCAAUGGGCGAAAGCUUGACGGAGCAACGCCGCGUGAGUGAUGAAGGUCUUCGGAUCGUAAAACUCUGUUAUUAGGGAAGAACAAAUGUGUAAGUAACUAUGCACGUCUUGACGGUACCUAAUCAGAAAGCCACGGCUAACUACGUG